UACGGAGGGUGCAAGCGUUAUCCGGAUUCACUGGGUUUAAAGGGUGUGUAGGCGGGCUGUUAAGUCAGUGGUGAAAUCUCCGGGCUCAACCCGGAAACUGCCAUUGAUACUAUCAGUCUUGAAUUCUGUUGAGGUGGGCGGAAUAUGUCAUGUAGCGGUGAAAUGCAUAGAUAUGACAUAGAACACCAAUUGCGAAGGCAGCUCACUAAGCAGCGAUUGACGCUGAGGCACGAAAGCGUGGGGAUCAAACAGG
RNAcentral lists this ribosomal RNA (253 nucleotides) under uncultured bacterium. RNAcentral describes it as "partial 16S ribosomal RNA". It matches the Rfam family "Bacterial small subunit ribosomal RNA", at positions 524 to 776 of the family's 1533-position model. The record is from RNAcentral.